GGUUAAGCGACUAAGCGUACACGGUGGAUGCCCUGGCAGUCAGAGGCGAUGAAGGACGUGCUAAUCUGCGAAAAGCGUCGGUAAGGUGAUAUGAACCGUUAUAACCGGCGAUGUCCGAAUGGGGAAACCCAGUGUGAUUCGUCACACUAUCGUUAACUGAAUACAUAGGUUAACGAGGCGAACCGGGGGAACUGAAACAUCUAAGUACCCCGAGGAAAAGAAAUCAACCGAGAUUCCCCCAGUAGCGGCGAGCGAACGGGGAGCAGCCCAGAGUCUGAAUCAGCUUGUGUGUUAGUGGAACGGUCUGGAAAGUCCGACGGUACAGGGUGAUAGUCCCGUACACCAAAAUGCACAGGUUGUGAACUCGAAGAGUAGGGCGGGACACGUGGUAUCCUGUCUGAAUAUGGGGGGACCAUCCUCCAAGGCUAAAUACUCCUGACUGACCGAUAGUGAACCAGUACCGUGAGGGAAAGGCGAAAAGAACCCCGGCGAGGGGAGUGAAAAAGAACCUGAAACCGUGUACGUACAAGCAGUGGGAGCACCUUCGGGUGUGACUGCGUACCUUUUGUAUAAUGGGUCAGCGACUUAUAUUCUGUAGCAAGGUUAACCGUAUAGGGGAGCCGCAGGGAAACCGAGUCUUAACUGGGCGUUAAGUUGCAGGGUAUAGACCCGAAACCCGGUGAUCUAGCCAUGGGCAGGUUGAAGGUUGGGUAACACUAACUGGAGGACCGAACCGACUAAUGUUGAAAAAUUAGCGGAUGACUUGUGGCUGGGGGUGAAAGGCCAAUCAAACCGGGAGAUAGCUGGUUCUCCCCGAAAGCUAUUUAGGUAGCGCCUCGUGAACUCAUCUUCGGGGGUAGAGCACUGUUUCGGCUAGGGGGUCAUCCCGACUUACCAACCCGAUGCAAACUACGAAUACCGAAGAAUGUUAUCACGGGAGACACACGGCGGGUGCUAACGUCCGUCGUGAAGAGGGAAACAACCCAGACCGCCAGCUAAGGUCCCAAAGUCAUGGUUAAGUGGGAAACGAUGUGGGAAGGCACAGACAGCCAGGAUGUUGGCUUAGAAGCAGCCAUCAUUUAAAGAAAGCGUAAUAGCUCACUGGUCGAGUCGGCCUGCGCGGAAGAUGUAACGGGGCUAAACCAUGCACCGAAGCUGCGGCAGCGACACUAUGUGUUGUUGGGUAGGGGAGCGUUCUGUAAGCCUGCGAAGGUGUGCUGUGAGGCAUGCUGGAGGUAUCAGAAGUGCGAAUGCUGACAUAAGUAACGAUAAAGCGGGUGAAAAGCCCGCUCGCCGGAAGACCAAGGGUUCCUGUCCAACGUUAAUCGGGGCAGGGUGAGUCGACCCCUAAGGCGAGGCCGAAAGGCGUAGUCGAUGGGAAACAGGUUAAUAUUCCUGUACUUGGUGUUACUGCGAAGGGGGACGGAGAAGGCUAUGUUAGCCGGGCGACGGUUGUCCCGGUUUAAGCAUGUAGGCUGAUUGUCCAGGCAAAUCCGGAUAAUCAAGGCUGAGGUGUGAUGACGAGGCACUACGGUGCUGAAGUAACAAAUGCCCUGCUUCCAGGAAAAGCCUCUAAGCAUCAGGUAACAUCAAAUCGUACCCCAAACCGACACAGGUGGUCAGGUAGAGAAUACCAAGGCGCUUGAGAGAACUCGGGUGAAGGAACUAGGCAAAAUGGUGCCGUAACUUCGGGAGAAGGCACGCUGGUGUGUAGGUGAAGUCCCUGCGGAUGGAGCUGAGACCAGUCGAAGAUACCAGCUGGCUGCAACUGUUUAUUAAAAACACAGCACUGUGCAAACACGAAAGUGGACGUAUACGGUGUGACGCCUGCCCGGUGCCGGAAGGUUAAUUGAUGGGGUUAUCCGUAAGGAGAAGCUCUUGAUCGAAGCCCCGGUAAACGGCGGCCGUAACUAUAACGGUCCUAAGGUAGCGAAAUUCCUUGUCGGGUAAGUUCCGACCUGCACGAAUGGCGUAAUGAUGGCCAGGCUGUCUCCACCCGAGACUCAGUGAAAUUGAACUCGCUGUGAAGAUGCAGUGUACCCGCGGCAAGACGGAAAGACCCCGUGAACCUUUACUAUAGCUUGACACUGAACAUUGAGCCUUGAUGUGUAGGAUAGGUGGGAGGCUUUGAAGCGUGGACGCCAGUCUGCGUGGAGCCAACCUUGAAAUACCACCCUUUAAUGUUUGAUGUUCUAACGUUGGCCCCUUACCGGGGUUGCGGACAGUGUCUGGUGGGUAGUUUGACUGGGGCGGUCUCCUCCCAAAGCGUAACGGAGGAGCACGAAGGUUAGCUAAUCCUGGUCGGACAUCAGGAGGUUAGUGCAAUGGCAUAAGCUAGCUUGACUGCGAGCGUGACGGCGCGAGCAGGUGCGAAAGCAGGUCAUAGUGAUCCGGUGGUUCUGAAUGGAAGGGCCAUCGCUCAACGGAUAAAAGGUACUCCGGGGAUAACAGGCUGAUACCGCCCAAGAGUUCAUAUCGACGGCGGUGUUUGGCACCUCGAUGUCGGCUCAUCACAUCCUGGGGCUGAAGUAGGUCCCAAGGGUAUGGCUGUUCGCCAUUUAAAGUGGUACGCGAGCUGGGUUUAGAACGUCGUGAGACAGUUCGGUCCCUAUCUGCCGUGGGCGCUGGAGAAUUGAGGGGGGCUGCUCCUAGUACGAGAGGACCGGAGUGGACGCAUCACUGGUGUUCGGGUUGUCAUGCCAAUGGCACUGCCCGGUAGCUAAAUGCGGAAGAGAUAAGUGCUGAAAGCAUCUAAGCACGAAACUUGCCCCGAGAUGAGUUCUCCCUGAGACUUUAAGUCUCCUGAAGGAACGUUGAAGACGACGACGUUGAUAGGCCGGGUGUGUAAGCGCAGCGAUGCGUUGAGCUAACCGGUACUAAUGAACCGUGAGGCUUAACCUU
RNAcentral lists this ribosomal RNA (2901 nucleotides) under Klebsiella pneumoniae. Its description in RNAcentral is "23S ribosomal RNA". It matches the Rfam family "Bacterial large subunit ribosomal RNA". Lineage: Bacteria; Pseudomonadati; Pseudomonadota; Gammaproteobacteria; Enterobacterales; Enterobacteriaceae. The record is from RNAcentral.